RNAcentral lists this ribosomal RNA (466 nucleotides) under uncultured bacterium. Its description in RNAcentral is "partial 16S ribosomal RNA". It matches the Rfam family "Bacterial small subunit ribosomal RNA", at positions 28 to 507 of the family's 1533-position model. The record is from RNAcentral.
GAUGAACGCUGGCGGCGUGCUUAACACAUGCAAGUCGAACGAUGAAGCCCAGCUUGCUGGGUGGAUUAGUGGCGAACGGGUGAGUAACACGUGAGUAACCUGCCCUUAACUCUGGGAUAAGCCUGGGAAACUGGGUCUAAUACCGGAUAGGAGCGUCCACAGCACGGUGGGUGUUGGAAAGAUUUAUCGGUUUUGGAUGGACUCGCGGCCUAUCAGCUUGUUGGUGAGGUAAUGGCUCACCAAGGCGACGACGGGUAGCCGGCCUGAGAGGGUGACCGGCCACACUGGGACUGGGACACGGCGCAGACUCCUACGGGAGGCAGCAGUGGGGAAUAUUGCACAAUGGGCGCAAGCCUGAUGCAGCGACGCCGCGUGAGGGAUGACGGCCUUCGGGUUGUAAACCUCUUUCAGUAGGGAAGAAGCGAAAGUGACGGUACCUGCAGAAGAAGCACCGGCUAACUACGUG